GAUGAACGCUAGCGGCAGGCCUAACACAUGCAAGUCGAGGGGCAGCGGGGAAAAGCUUGCUUUUCCGCCGGCGACCGGCGCACGGGUGCGGAACGCGUAUGGAACCUGCCCCUGUCAGGGGAAUAGCCCAGGGAAACUUGGAUUAAUGCCCCAUGGUACCAUUAUAUCGCAUGAUAUUAUGGUUAAAGAUUUAUCGGACAGGGAUGGCCAUGCGUACCAUUAGUUAGUUGGUAAGGUAACGGCUUAC
Molecule: ribosomal RNA, 247 nt
Filed under: uncultured bacterium
Lineage: Bacteria
Description: partial 16S ribosomal RNA
Rfam family: Bacterial small subunit ribosomal RNA
Source: RNAcentral